Molecule: small nuclear RNA, 108 nt
Filed under: Procavia capensis (Cape rock hyrax)
Lineage: Eukaryota; Metazoa; Chordata; Mammalia; Hyracoidea; Procaviidae
Source: RNAcentral
UUGUUCAAAAAGGAAUGACUGCUGUGCUCAUUUCAGAACAAUACAAAGGACAUUAACACGCCCCUGUACAAGGAUGAUGUGAAAAUUUGUGAAACAUUACAUAUUUUU